Molecule: ribosomal RNA, 443 nt
Filed under: uncultured bacterium
Lineage: Bacteria
Description: bacterial SSU rRNA
Rfam family: Bacterial small subunit ribosomal RNA
Source: RNAcentral
ACUCCUACGGGAGGCAGCAGUGGGGAAUAUUGCACAAUGGGGGAAACCCUGAUGCAGCAACGCCGCGUGAGUGAUGACGGUCUUCGGAUUGUAAAGCUCUGUCUUCAGGGACGAUAAUGACGGUACCUGAGGAGGAAGCCACGGCUAACUACGUGCCAGCAGCCGCGGUAAUACGUAGGUGGCAAGCGUUGUCCGGAUUUACUGGGCGUAAAGGGAGCGUAGGUGGAUAUUUAAGUGGGAUGUGAAAUACUCGGGCUUAACCUGAGUGCUGCAUUCCAAACUGAAUAUCUAGAGUGCAGGAGAGGAAAGUAGAAUUCCUAGUGUAGCGGUGAAAUGCGUAGAGAUUAGGAAGAAUACCAGUGGCGAAGGCGACUUUCUGGACUGUAACUGACACUGAGGCUCGAAAGCGUGGGGAGCAAACAGGAUUAGAUACCCUGGUAGUC